Long non-coding RNA from Mobula hypostoma (lesser devil ray), 746 nucleotides. RefSeq lists it as uncharacterized. The transcript is spliced from 2 exons. NCBI's taxonomy places the organism in Eukaryota, Metazoa, Chordata, Chondrichthyes, Myliobatiformes, Myliobatidae. The record is from RefSeq and is a predicted model, not a curated record.
CCCUCACCACUCCCUUCCUCCGCCAAUAAAGUCGUUUUCAUUGGCUGUCUGAUUUCCUCCGAGCUCAGCUCUGAGAUAAAGAACCGCAUAUCCUGGGUCUUUUGCUUUUCGGGUCAGCGAGUUGGAGCAGCAGGUCGCCACGAUGAAGAAAAGCUUGAUUGGUCUCCUCGUUUGCUGCCUGCUGGCUCAUAUGAGUGCGGGGGGAAAAGGUCAAGGAACCACGCAGCAAUCGAACGCUACAAAAACUAAGGAAGCCCCAAAAGGAAAUGGAGCUGCCGUAUUUAUCCCAGCCACUGCCACGGUCCUGCUUCUGUCCCUGCUCCCAGUCGCCUUGCAGAAAGCUACGUGUUAACUCAGUGGCCCCUGGGCAGCCAUCUUCAGCCGGCUCGCGCGACGCUGUGGAAACCGUCCCGUCCUGCUGACCUUCAUUCUCCAAUGUGUUCUCAAGUUCGGCCACUGAAACGAGUCCGUUAAAUCUCUGAUCACCGACUGAUGCCCGCUCCUCAUUCCUUGGCCCACUCUACCUUUUACAGCCUGCCCUCCGGCAUAAAUCCUGUAAAUAAUCUCACAAAACCACCAUUGUCAAAAAGGAGAGAGAGAUAAUUGGCAGGUAACCACAAGAUGUUGUAGAAGGUCAUAGAACAGGAAGCAGAACACCUUCAAAUUUCCCCAUUCUCUGUGUAAUAUGUUGCCUUUUGGCUUCAAGCCAUUUAUAAUUUCACGGCAAUAAAAACAUUUUAAUAUUG